RNAcentral lists this long non-coding RNA (850 nucleotides) under Homo sapiens (human). RNAcentral describes it as "HSALNT0140623". Lineage: Eukaryota; Metazoa; Chordata; Mammalia; Primates; Hominidae. The record is from RNAcentral.
AUCAUUUCCAUUCCUGUAUUAUAACUUGUCUUGUUGUAAGGUUUGUUUUUCCCUGUGUCUGUCUCAGCCCUCCCCUCCCCAUCUGCCUUUGCCUCUGUAGGGCAUCCUGGUCCGUGGAUGGGCUUGGAUGCCAAGAGCUGCUCUGUAAGAACCUUCUCAGAUGAUGAUGAUGAUGAUGAUGAUGAUGAUGAUGAUUCUGGAGAAAGCAAAGACCACAUGGCCUGAUACUGAGGAUGCUGCUAGGCCGUGAAGCACCCACAGGAUCCUUUGUGUGCCAAUCAAGGGCACCCUUAGAGAAAUCAGGAAACUCUUCGCUGAGCAGGUUAAUCUUCAUGACGCCCAUGGUUCUGGAAUCGGAACACUAAUGAUUAGCACAGAAACUUCCCCACAGCCUCAGUAAUCAUUGACUUAUUAAUCCAUGCAGUUCAGGACCUUGUGCUGAGUUAUCUCUAUUUCCAUUCAUUGGUCAGUCUUUUCUGUCUGGACACAGGACCACUGUGGUCAGGUCAUCCAGUGGCACCGCCAUGGCCAUCCGGGUUUGCUGAGUGCCAUUCUGCUAACUUUUGUGAGCUGUGCUCUGUCUUGAGUCUGACACCUGAUUUGAAUAUCUGGCUUUACCAAUUACUAUCCUUAUCAUUUGGGUAAGUUGUUUAAACUCUCAAAGCCUCACUUUCCUUGUCUAUAAAAUGGGAGGAAUAACAGUUCCACCUCAUCAGGUUGCCGUGAGGCCUAAUGAAAGAAUGCAUUGUAAGUGCUUGGUAUGUGCCUCGCCCAUAUUAAGCAUGCCAAAAGCGACAGCUCUUGUUUUCCUAACUCAAUCAGAAAGCUCGUUAAGUGAUAUGACAUAAAA